UUUGCUGGACAAAUCCUUUUGCUCGAACUGGUUCUGCAGAUGGAUAUAUCCACUAAUACAGGACUAUUAAAGGCCCAGUGCACUAAUUUUGUGGAACAAAAAAAAGUUACAUUAGUAUUUUUUAUUCUGCAGCACCCUCAGCACCCCUACUUCCAGUGGUAUGCCUGUGAGGAGUAGAUCUGUGCCAGCACAGAGGAAUAGGCCAAGGAGUGAUAUAUGCUUCAGUAAGGUGGGCUUCUUAGCAUUCAUAGCAAUGGUUAUCAACUCUACCUCAGAAAUGGAAUGUCAAUCACAGAAAAUAGAUGUUCUGUUGGCAGCUGCAGUAUUUGGGUGUACGAGAUUUGACUUCUGAAUAGUUAGAGAGUGUGUUGAGAGAUGAUGUCCUGUCCUCCCAGACCGUUGGCAUGGUGCAGGAGCAGGUAGGGUCAAAGUAGUAGAAUUGGGUAGUCAGAAGGGUGUAUUAUUAUUAUUUUUUAAAUGGUAUAUAUUUUUGGGGUAUCACAAAGUAUAAUGGAUUUAUACUAUAGUCCAGUUGGGGGCAUUAAUGCAACAUAUUAGAUGCCUACAGCCGUUAAACCCCACCGAAGAAGAUGAAGAAGACAUGCAGCACUAUCUCACAGGCUGCUUGUCGCCCCCAAGACCAGAACCAAUCGCAUGCAGGGAACAAUGAGUCAUCAAAGCCACAUUCAAACAGAGCCAGAAAGCUGAAGCCUAGAGGAAAAAGGACAAUGACCCAACACACCUCCAGGCGGUGUAAGGACUAUUUGACCAAGAAGGAGAGUGAUGGAAUGCUGCAUCAGAUGACCUGGCCUCAAACCAAUUGAGAUGGUUUGGGAUGAGUUGGACCGCAGAGUGAAGGAAAAACAGCCAACAAAUGCUCAGCAUAUGUGGGAACUCCUUCAAGACUGUUGGAAAAGCAUUCCAGGUGAAGCUGGUUGAGAGAAUGCCAAGAGUGUGCAAAGCUGUCAUCAAGACAAAGGGAGGCUACUUAGAAGAAUCUCAAAUAUAAAAUAUACUUUGAUUUGUUUAAUGCUUUUUUGGUUACUACAUGAGUCCAUGUGUGUUAUUUCAUAGUUUUGAUGUCUUCACUAUUAUUCUACAAUGUAAAAAAUAAUAAAAUAAAGAAAAACCCUUGAAUCAGUAGGUGUGUCCAAACUUUUGAAUGGUACUGUGUUUUUGGAAUGUUCAUUCAAAUCGCCACAGUUUUUAUUUCAGCUGUUCAGAAAUAUGAGGCAGAGACAGAUGCUAACUAUAUUACCUUUUUUCCUCUAGGCAUCAGCUUUCUGGCGGUGUUUGAAUGUGGCACAAUGGUUCUUUGUUCCUUGCAUGCGAUUGGCUCUGGUGUUGGGCAGACCCAUUGCCAGGAUAAGGGGAUAGUUGAAAUCAUCGAGAGGGCAAUAUUUUUUGGGGUUCUUUGCAUUGAAAUGAUAUUGAAUUGUGCUUAUAUCAUGCUAUACCACAAUAAACAAAAUUACGAGUCUGAGUGCUAUGAGUGUUAUGAGUGCUUUUGAAGUGACAGUGAGGUUGGCGCAAAAUCUGUAGUCAAUCUCAGCGAACAGAACAAAACAGAGGUAGUAGGCAUAGUAAACUAAAUAUCAGAUCAAUAAAGGCAUGACCUAAACUUAUAAACAAAAAUAUAAACGCAACAUGUAAAGUGUUAGUGCCAUGUUUCAUGAGCUGAAAUAAAAGAGCUCAGAAAUUUUCCAUACGCACAAAAAGCUUAUUUUCUUCAAAUUUUGUUCACAAAUUUGUUUACAUCCCUGUUAGUGAGCAUUUCUCCUUUGCCAAGAUAAUCCAUCAAUCUGGCAGGGGUGGCAUAUCAAGAAGCUGAUUAAACAGCAUUAUCAUUAUACAGGUGCACCUUGUGUUGGGUACAAUAAAAGGCCACUCAAAAAUGUGCAGUUUUGAGUGUGCAAUUGGCAUGCUGACAGCAGGAAUGUCCACCACAGCUGUUGCCAGAUAAUUUACUGUUAAUUUCUCUACCAUGUUGUCUUCGAGAAUUUGGCAGUACGUCCAACCUGCCUCGCAACCGCAGACCACGUUUACCCACGUCAGCCCAGGACCUCCACAUCCGGCUUCUUCACCUGCAGGAUUGUCUGAGACCAGCCACCCGGACAGGAAACUGUGAAAUGAGAACAGGAACCAGUCACCAAGAGCAGCAGACAGAUUCUCAGAAGUGUGAUCAUACAGUGAGAGCCGACCACUGUGACUUCCAUUUGCAUCCUCCAUCCUGCACAAAACCCUAGACGUACUGUCUAUGAAAUCCUGCCUGUUCUCCAAGACUCAUGUCUAUGAAACCCUGCCCGUUCUCCAAGACUCAUGCCUAUGAAACCCUGCCCGUUCUCCAAGACUCAUGCCUAUGAAACACUGCCCGUUCUCCAAGACGUCAUGUCUAUGAAACCCUGCCCGUUCUCCAAGACGUCAUCUCUAUGAAACCCUGCCCGUUCUCCUAGAGGUCAUGUCUAUGAAACCCUGCCCGUUCUCCUAGAGGUCAUGUCUAUGAAACCCUGCCCGUUCUCCAAGACGUCAUCUCUAUGAAACCCUGCCCGUUCUCCAAGACGUCAUCUCUAUGAAACCCUGCCCGUUCUCCAAGACGUCAUCUCUAUGAAACCCUGCCCGUUCUCCAAGACAUCAUCUCUAUGAAACCCUGCCCGUUCUCCAAGACAUCAUGUCUAUGAAACCCUGCCCGUUCUCCAAGACAUCAUGUCUAUGAAACCCUGCCCGUUCUCCUAGACGUCAUGUCUAUGAAGCCCUGCCCGUUC
Salvelinus fontinalis (brook trout) is the source of this 2762-nucleotide long non-coding RNA. RefSeq lists it as uncharacterized. The record is from RefSeq and is a predicted model, not a curated record. Lineage: Eukaryota; Metazoa; Chordata; Actinopteri; Salmoniformes; Salmonidae. The transcript has 3 exons.